GGGCCUAAAAUGAACACCAACCACCAGCCCAAAUGCGGGUCGAUUUUUGGAGUUGACGGAUAAGAAUGUAGAAUUCACCAGCCUUGUUGGCAGGUGCUCACCCUCAGGGGGAUAUACAGUGGAGUUGACGGAUAAGAAUGUAGAAUUCACCAGCCUUGUUGGCAGGUGCUCACGCUCAGGGGGAUAUACAGUGGAGUUGACGGAUAAGAAUGUAGAAUUCACCAGCCUUGUUGGCAGGUGCUCACACACAUGGGGAUAUACAGUGGAGUUGACGGAUAAGAAUGUAGAAUUCACCAGCCUUGUUGGCAGGUGCUCACGCUCAGGGGGAUAUACAGUGGAGUUGACGGAUAAGAAUGUAGAAUUCACCAGCCUUGUUGGCAGGUGCUCACACACAUGGGGAUAUACAGUGGAGUUGACUGAUAAGAAUGUAGAAUUCACCAGCCUUGUUGGCAGGUGCUCACACUCAGGGGGAUAUACAGUGGAGUUGACGGAUAAGAAUGUAGAAUUCACCAGCCUUGUUGGCAGGUGCUCACACACAUGGGGAUAUACAGUGGAGUUGACGGAUAAGAAUGUAGAAUUCACCAGCCUUGUUGGCAGGUGCUCACGCUCAGGGGGAUAUACAGUGGAGUUGACGGAUAAGAAUGUAGAAUUCACCAGCCUUGUUGGCAGGUGCUCACGCUCAGGGGAUAUACAGUGGAGUUGACGGAUAAGAAUGUAGAAUUCACCAGCCUUGUUGGCAGGUGCUCACGCUCAGGGGAUAUACAGUGGAGUUGACGGAUAAGAAUGUAGAAUUCACCAGCCUUGUUGGCAGGUGCUCACGCUCAGGGGGAUAUACAGUGGAGUUGACGGAUAAGAAUGUAGAAUUCACCAGCCUUGUUGGCAGGUGCUCACACACAUGGGGAUAUACAGUGGAGUUGACGGAUAAGAAUGUAGAAUUCACCAGCCUUGUUGGCAGGUGCUCACACACAUGGGGAUAUACAGUGGAGUUGACGGAUAAGAAUGUAGAAUUCACCAGCCUUGUUGGCAGGUGCUCACGCUCAGGGGGAUAUACAGUGGAGUUGACGGAUAAGAAUGUAGAAUUCACCAGCCUUGUUGGCAGGUGCUCACACACAUGGGGAUAUACAGUGGAGUUGACGGAUAAGAAUGUAGAAUUCACCAGCCUUGUUGGCAGGUGCUCACACACAUGGGGAUAUACAGUGGAGUUGACGGAUAAGAAUGUAGAAUUCACCAGCCUUGUUGGCAGGUGCUCACACACAUGGGGAUAUACAGUGGAGUUGACGGAUAAGAAUGUAGAAUUCACCAGCCUUGUUGGCAGGUGCUCACACACAUGGGGAUAUACAGUGGAGUUGACGGAUAAGAAUGUAGAAUUCACCAGCCUUGUUGGCAGGUGCUCACGCUCAGGGGGAUAUACAGUGGAGUUGACGGAUAAGAAUGUAGAAUUCACCAGCCUUGUUGGCAGGUGCUCACACACAUGGGGAUAUACAGUGGAGUUGACGGAUAAGAAUGUAGAAUUCACCAGCCUUGUUGGCAGGUGCUCACACACAUGGGGAUAUACAGUGGAGUUGACGGAUAAGAAUGUAGAAUUCACCAGCCUUGUUGGCAGGUGCUCACACACAUGGGGAUAUACAGUGGAGUUGACGGAUAAGAAUGUAGAAUUCACCAGCCUUGUUGGCAGGUGCUCACACACAUGGGGAUAUACAGUGGAGUUGACGGAUAAGAAUGUAGAAUUCACCAGCCUUGUUGGCAGGUGCUCACACACAUGGGGAUAUACAGUGGAGUUGACGGAUAAGAAUGUAGAAUUCACCAGCCUUGUUGGCAGGUGCUCACGCUCAGGGGGAUAUACAGUGGAGUUGACGGAUAAGAAUGUAGAAUUCACCAGCCUUGUUGGCAGGUGCUCACGCUCAGGGGGAUAUACAGUGGAGUUGACGGAUAAGAAUGUAGAAUUCACCAGCCUUGUUGGCAGGUGCUCACACACAUGGGGAUAUACAGUGGAGUUGACGGAUAAGAAUGUAGAAUUCACCAACCUUGUUGGCAGGUGCUCACACACAUGGGGAUAUACAGUGGAGUUGACGGAUAAGAAUGUAGAAUUCACCAGCCUUGUUGGCAGGUGCUCACGCUCAGGGGGAUAUACAGUGGAGUUGACGGAUAAGAAUGUAGAAUUCACCAGCCUUGUUGGCAGGUUCUCACGCUCAGGGGGAUAUACAGUGGAGUUGACGGAUAAGAAUGUAGAAUUCACCAGCCUUGUUGGCAGGUGCUCACACACAUGGGGAUAUACAGUGGAGUUGACGGAUAAGAAUGUAGAAUUCACCAGCCUUGUUGGCAGGUGCUCACGCUCAGGGGGAUAUACAGUGGAGUUGACGGAUAAGAAUGUAGAAUUCACCAGCCUUGUUGGCAGGUGCUCACGCUCAGGGGGAUAUACAGUGGAGUUGACGGAUAAGAAUGUAGAAUUCACCAGCCUUGUUGGCAGGUGCUCAGUUGGCAGCAGCUCAUAAAAAUAGUCAAGUAUGGCAAGAAGCCCAAACAGAUUUAACAUUUGACUAAAUCACCUCAACUUGCUUACGUUUGCAUACAAUCACAUAUCUGUAACGCGUCGGAAAACAUUGGAACAAAAUGAAAGUCACUUGGAGAUGUUUUCUUGGUGUUUUUACAGUCUUAUGUACCAAGUCAAUAAUUAUUCUGAAAACUUGGUGGGGGGUAAAUAAAAUCACCAGCAGUUGGAGCUAUCUGGUAUUUGAUUUGAAUUAUUUAUUAGUAUCUCCAUUCGCCAAUGGCGACGGCUCGUCUUACUGGGGUCCGACACAUAACGAAAAAUACAUUACAGACAAACUUUACAAUGUACAUACACUGCCGUUCAAAAGUUUGGGGUCACUUAGAAAUGUCCUUGUUUUUGAAAGAAAGACCAAAAUAAAUCCCAUUACGAUA
Molecule: long non-coding RNA, 2922 nt
Organism: Oncorhynchus kisutch (coho salmon)
Lineage: Eukaryota; Metazoa; Chordata; Actinopteri; Salmoniformes; Salmonidae
Exons: 3
Source: RefSeq, a predicted model, not a curated record